UAUCUCUGUAGAGUCUGCAUAUCAAUAAGCGGAGGAAAAGAAACUAACAAGGAUUCCCUAGUAACGGCGAGUGAAGCGGGAAGAGCUCAAAUUUGAAAUCUUCAAGGUUCUACCUUGACGAAUUGUAGUUUAAAGAAGUGUUUUCUGUUGAGUUUGGUAAAAGUUCUUUGGAAUAGGACAUCAUAGAGGGUGAGAAUCCCGUAUUUGACCUAUUACUUCCAGCUUUGUGAUACACUUUCAAAGAGUCGGAUUGUUUGGGAAUGCAGUCCAAAAUGGGUGGUAAAUUUCAUCUAAAGCUAAAUAUUGGCGAGAGACCGAUAGCGAACAAGUACCGUGAGGGAAAGAUGAAAAGAACUUUGAAAAGAGAGUUAAACAGUACGUGAAAUUGUCAAAAGGGAAGCGUUUGACACCAGUGUUGUUUUUCUCGAAAAUCAAUUAAAGAAUGGCUUGAUUCUGUGUUGUAUUGACCUUAUCAGCUUUCUUCACUUUUUUCGAGUCUUUUCUUAAUGCACUUUUCGUUAACAAGUCAACAUCAAUUUCUUUUGUUGUAAAAAGAGUAUUCGGAAGGUGGCUUUCUUUUCGGAGAAAGUGUUUAUAGCCCUUGACUUCUGCAAUCGGAGAGAUUGAGGUCUGCAGCGUAGAUCCUUCGGGGUUAGAUACAUUUGUGCUAAGUUGUAGCUUUUCAUAGACAACUUGUUGACUAUGUUUAGUCAUGUAGCUUACUCGCUUAUGCUAUUUUACCUACGCUUAGGAUGUUGAAGAUGUAGCACAUCAU
RNAcentral lists this ribosomal RNA (775 nucleotides) under uncultured Neocallimastigales. RNAcentral describes it as "partial large subunit ribosomal RNA". It matches the Rfam family "Eukaryotic large subunit ribosomal RNA", at positions 24 to 635 of the family's 3401-position model. The record is from RNAcentral. Lineage: Eukaryota; Fungi; Neocallimastigomycota; Neocallimastigomycetes; Neocallimastigales.